RNAcentral lists this ribosomal RNA (451 nucleotides) under uncultured bacterium. Its description in RNAcentral is "bacterial SSU rRNA". It matches the Rfam family "Bacterial small subunit ribosomal RNA", at positions 330 to 793 of the family's 1533-position model. The record is from RNAcentral.
UCCAGACUCCUACGGGAGGCAGCAGUGGGGGAUAUUGGACAAUGGGGGAAACCCUGAUCCAGCGACGCCGCGUGAGUGAAGAAGUAUUUCGGUAUGUAAAGCUCUGUCAGCAGGGAAGAAAGAAAUGACGGUACCUGAUUAAGAAGCCCCAGCUAACUACGUGCCAGCAGCCGCGGUAAUACGUAGGGGGCAAGCGUUAUCCGGAUUUACUGGGUGUAAAGGGAGCGUAGACGGUGAUGCAAGUCAGAAGUGAAAGCCCGGGGCUCAACCCCGGGACUGCAUUGGAAACUGUCCGGCUAGAGUGCAGGAGAGGUAAGUGGAAUUCCUAGUGUAGCGGUGAAAUGCGUAGAUAUUAGGAGGAACACCAGUGGCGAAGGCGGCUUACUGGACUGUAACUGACGUUGAGGCUCGAAAGCGUGGGGAGCAAACAGGAUUAGAUACCCCCGUACGG